AACGAACGCUGGCGGCAGGCCUAACACAUGCAAGUCGAGCGAACCCUUCGGGGUUAGCGGCGGACGGGUUAGUAACGCGUGGGAAUAUACCCUUUGGUACGGAAUAGCCUCGGGAAACUGAGAGUAAUACCGUAUGUGCCCUUCGGGGGAAAGAUUUAUCGCCAAAGGAUUAGCCCGCGUUGGAUUAGAUAGUUGGUGGGGUAAUGGCCUACCAAGUCUACGAUCCAUAGCUGGUUUGAGAGGAUGAUCAGCAACACUGGGACUGAGACACGGCCCAGACUCCUACGGGAGGCAGCAGUGGGGAAUCUUAGACAAUGGGCGCAAGCCUGAUCUAGCCAUGCCGCGUGGACGAUGAAGGCCUUAGGGUUGUAAAGUCCUUUCAGAUGGGAAGAUAAUGACGGUACCAUCAGAAGAAGCCCCGGCUAACUCCGUGCCAGCAGCCGCGGUAAAGUCUGUACU
This 459-nucleotide ribosomal RNA is filed under the name uncultured bacterium. RNAcentral describes it as "bacterial SSU rRNA". It matches the Rfam family "Bacterial small subunit ribosomal RNA", at positions 29 to 531 of the family's 1533-position model. The record is from RNAcentral.